UUGCAGAUGCAAGAAAAAAGUGUCCUCAUGCUUUCUUUCUGAUGGUGGCAGCUGAGACUGAGUAGAGUAAUACAGGG
Molecule: small nucleolar RNA, 77 nt
Organism: Homo sapiens (human)
Lineage: Eukaryota; Metazoa; Chordata; Mammalia; Primates; Hominidae
Source: Ensembl